RNAcentral lists this ribosomal RNA (351 nucleotides) under uncultured fungus. RNAcentral describes it as "SSU rRNA". It matches the Rfam family "Eukaryotic small subunit ribosomal RNA", at positions 1325 to 1698 of the family's 1831-position model. The record is from RNAcentral. Lineage: Eukaryota; Fungi.
UCGAUAACGAACGAGACCUUAACCUGCUAAAUAGUGAUGCGAACCUGCGUUCGUAAGCACUUCUUAGAGGGACUGACUACGUUUAGUGGUCGGAAGUUUGAGGCAAUAACAGGUCUGUGAUGCCCUUAGAUGUUCUGGGCUGCACGCGCGCUACACUGACAGAGGCAGCGAGUAUACAACCUUGACCGGAAGGUCUGGGCAAUCUUUUGAAACUCUGUCGUGCUGGGGAUAGAGCAUUGCAAUUAUUGCUCUUCAACGAGGAAUUCCUAGUAAGCGCAUGUCAUCAGCAUGCGUUGAUUACGUCCCUGCCCUUUGUACACACCGCCCGUCGCUACUACCGAUUGAAUGGCU